UUCCGCUACAUCUCUGUUCUCAGCCACGAUGCAGAAAAUGUUCCUCACGGUGCUGUGUAUCUUACUUUUUACUGGCAACAUUCUCCAACUAGGUAAAAGAUUACUUUCAUAAGUAAAGUUUAUUAAAGCAUAUUAUGGGAACUUUGAACUACUUUGAACUACUAAUCCCACGGUAAAAGUAUCUUGUUUUCUGUUAUGAGUUGUAGUGUUGUGGGUCUUGAGAUCGAUCUUGAUGCCCAAAAAAAAUUGUGGUCUUGGUCUUUUUUCUUUUUUUAUUUUAGUUAAAAAUAUUUCUAUGAUUUUUCCGACCACAUAAGACCAUAAUGUGUUCAUUAUUGCUUUGUGAUGUUCUCCUUACAGUACAAAAUAUAAAUGCACAUCUCUGUAUGUGGAGUUAAAGUAG
This is a long non-coding RNA of Ictalurus punctatus (channel catfish), 403 nucleotides long. Lineage: Eukaryota; Metazoa; Chordata; Actinopteri; Siluriformes; Ictaluridae. The record is from Ensembl.